RNAcentral lists this long non-coding RNA (446 nucleotides) under Equus asinus (donkey). Its description in RNAcentral is "lncRNA (ENSEASG00005027601.1)". Lineage: Eukaryota; Metazoa; Chordata; Mammalia; Perissodactyla; Equidae. The record is from RNAcentral.
CUUAUGGGCUCCACAGCAGCAAGUGUUCCAUCCCUGCCAGGACCCCUACUUGCUGGACCGUUCCUGGCCUCAGCCGUUUUCUGGCGCGUGCUCGGGGUUCUCACCAUCAGACGUUGGAAGUUCAAAGUUCCCAGGAGCCCACGGGCUUCGCCUGCUCCCAAGGGUAGGGACCCAGGGGGAGGGGCGCCCCCGCACCUGAGAAACACCAAGGCCUGAUUUCCCUGGGGCUCACCAGGAAAGGUGAUCCACCGGCCCUGCGCUGGAGACAAUUUACUGGGAGGCGAUCUGACAAGGCAGACACCGGACAAGAGGGACCCAGUACCCAUCAAUGGAAGGGUCCUCCUUGCCCAUGCUCUCUAUAUGAAAUAACUGAUUUUAUAAUUGUUUUUAUGAUUGUUAAACUAUAAUUGUUAUAAUUAAAGUGAUUAUUUGAGGAAUGCACUGAA